CCCUUGGCUACCGGCAGGAUUGGAAUGUUGGAUAUGCUAGUAAGAUUCUCUCUUUUGACAUUGAAAUCAACGUCUAAAUUUACUGAAUAACAUUACCUCAUAUGUUGCCUUUCCAGAUGAUUGUCAUGGAGUGCCAAUCGGUCCAAGGGUAACUCAGCUGAAACCAUGCUGCUAAUAACAAGCUCACUGUGAAUUUGUUAUAAUUAGGCACAAUCUUAUUGGCUCUACAUUGUACCAUGGGGUCUGUACAAAGCUGUUAACUACAUUAAAGAGACUUGUGGAAAUCCUACCAUGAUUUUGGCUGAGAAUUGUACAUUAUGUAUGCAUUCUAUAUUCAAGGAAGUUUUACGCUUAGGUGAAAAAUUAUCGAGUAUCUAAAUGUUGAAUCAUUUUCACAUGAUUGGCAGGAAUGGAUGAUCUGGGAAAGUGUUGCAUGUUCUAAGGAUUUACAUGAGACCACAAGGAUCAACUACUAAAAGAGCUAUUUAGCAGAAUUGAAGAAACAAGCAAUGAGGGAGCCAAUGUGAUCAGCUACUUCCAGUGGACAUUGCUUUCUAAUUUCGAAAAGAGACUCAGGUACACAUCAAGGUCCGUCAUUGUCUAUAUUGAUUUCAAAACCCUCAAGAGAUACCCAAAGAUGUCCACCUACUGGUUCCGACGGCUGCUAUACCGAAGCCAGCAUUAAGCAAAAGAAUGGUUCUCUCUAUCUUUCAAUAUUGCCAUCUGCCAUCUUUCCAUUCGAAUUUAAAGCUGCCACAUGAAUUUCACUGGAAGGUACGAGGAACAAAAUUUAACUUGUUUUUAUUCAUUAAUAUUGCCCCGUCUACCUUACAUAACAUGGUGUGUUCUCGGUGUAUGACAUUGGUAACCCCUAAAUAUUUAUCGUAAAAGCUCAUUAUUAACACAAACUGAUAGUUCCCUUCUCUUACUUCAGAAACAAGUAACGAUCAAAGUAUUUUACAGUGGACCAUAGCAAUUACUGACUCUUAAGUUUCCAUCUUCAAAAUGUCUAAUCUUAGUCUUGUUUAGAGUACUCAAGCCUUUGUAGGUGUUUAUUUUGUAAGUAUACUUUGUGCUCAUUUGGUAAGAUAGACUUUGUAGUAUUGUCAAAUAUUACUAAAUAAUAAACAAUAUCAUUUUCAAUAGUACAUGUGAGUUUUGUACCAUAAAAUUUUUAACUAGAAUGCACUCAAUAAUUUAGUUUUUUUUAGAUUGUCUUUUUUCUCGAGAGUUUAUGAGCUAUGGAUGACUAGACUUUAUCAGGGCUGAACUGAUGAACCAAAUGGCCAAUGCUUUCCAGAGGAGGUGUGAAUAUUUGCCAGUAAAAUUACAUACUUCUUUGCUGAUUAGAUUUUGCUGAUAAAAAUACUUCCUUUUUACAAAAUAGAAGAUUCUUCAUUAGCUCUAUUAACUUAGCCCAGAACUCAUUCUCUCUGGGUAGUCAAUGCAAUAAUGAAUAUCUACUUGGAUUCGUUCUCCAUCGGAACCUAAAAGUAUAGUUCAUUGUUGGUUAAAUGGUUUAUUUAUAGGUCCUCUCGUAUCUUAAAUGCUUUUUUGGGCUGAUUUCCAUAACAUUUUCUCGGCAGUGCUCCAGCAUCUUUCUUGCUAAAGAUCAAGAUGAUUGCUUGGAUGAAUUUGAAAUUUAUGUCUUUUAUUCACUUCAAAACUAACCUACUCCCUACUAAUUAUCUUCUUCCUUGCUUCUUGUUCUGCUAUGGGGGAUUUUGGACUUGCUAAAACUUUUAAAGAAGAUUAUUUAGCUUCUUCAAUAAGUGCUUGCUUAGCAUACUCAUUAAUAUACUUUUCCCCAUCGACGUUAAUAAUAAUUAAUGGAUGAAGUAUGAAAAGAUACCAUGUUUCCUUGUGUUUUCUGUUCAUUCGUUCUAUUUUAGUUAAUGAUAAUAGAAUUUAUGAAUUUAUGCUAGCAUAUCAACCAGUGAUUCUAUAUGACCUUUGCUUCAAUAUGAGUGGCCGGUAUGCAAUGAAACUCUUUUAGAGGGAGGGUUUGCAAGAUCUAUUAAAGUUAAAGGUCAAAUAUGGUUUCACUAUGUUCUUUGGUUCUCUUUCUAUUUUGAUACAAUAACAGAAACAACAAACUAAUCCUUAGUUCCUAUCAAAAUCGGUUGACAGCCUUGAGCAUUCAAUUUCUUUCAAAAGUUUAUUGCAGAUUUAUCCAUAGUAGUUGAUACAUGCAACAUAUUCUUUUCUCCUUCAAUAAAACAUGGAGUAAUGGAAAAUCUAUUAUUUAACUCCAAUUAAACUUGUCAAAAACAAAAUUUAGUGCCAAUUUAUUUUUCCCCCUAAAUAUCUGCAAUCAGCUUAUCCAAAGAAAAUAUCUAUCAAAAUUAGCUACUCGAUAAUGGAACUUAUCCAAAAAUCAUGUAAAGUCCUUCAUGGGUUCUGCAGAUCCUAUUGAGUUUGUGAGUUAUGUAUAAUAUUAGUCAUUCUUGCAAAUGAGAAUUGGAAAAUAUGUCAACGAGCUUCCUAAUUUUUCAUUUAUUGAUUAUGAUGAUAUGUCAUAUUAUUUUCUUAUUUAAAUUGAAAAAGAAAAGUAUGUUCAUCAUGUCUCUAAAAUUUCAUAUGAUAAUUGAUGAGUGCAAAUUGUGCACUUAUUUAGACCAUUUUAUUAAGUUUUUAUGUCGUCAAUUUAUUAAUUUCUACUUAAUUUGAGUUAAUUUUAGUUUGUUUUUAGUGAUGGACUCGUUCAGAGCAAAUGGAAAGGAUGAAGAACAAAUUGGCUAGUGGAUGCAAUAUUGAAGAACAAAUUCAACACUUGAAAAAUUGAAGAGGACGUUGAUUGCACAAUGGAGGAACUCAAAAACUGAAAUAUAUUAUAUUGAAAGAUUGAGGACUUGAUGAUUAAUAUUACAUUAAAGGCUUUGAAUUGGAGUCAAAUUUGGUGGCUAUGGAAUUAUUAUAUAAAGAUGUACACGCAGGAGGAAUUAGGGAGAGAUGGGAGUCCUUUCGUGAGUCAACCAUUGUGGCUGCUAGAAUUUUCUUUUGAUAUAUAUAUACACGUAUAUACUGAAGAGAAGGAAGCAGCCAAUUUUAAUAUAUAUUUUUCCACACACCAUAUUAUAGAGAAGCACGAAACUUUUGGCAGGAAUUCGAUAUUUUUUGGCACACAUUUUGAGGUGGCAAGAGGUGAUUGACACAGAUAGGGGGUACGGCUGUUGGGAGAAUUAAUUGGAGGGAGCUGGGGAUUUCUUUUUCUGCCAGUAAUAGAGACGCACAGAAAACCAAGGGUGAGGAAAUACUAUAUUUUAUACACACUUCGGAGGCUGAAAUUGUAAAACCGAGAGAGAGCAAAAAGGAGGCAGAAUAUAUACACGCAUACACGGCCAAAGAUGGCAACACGCGACGGCUUUACUUUUACAAAUUAUUCACGUUCCGUCCAUUUUCAGUGAUGCCUUCCAUAAUUUCUUACAUACACGGCCAGAGAUGGCAACACGCGACGGAUUUACUUUUACAAAUUAUUCACGUUCCGUCCAUUCUCAGUGAUGCCUUCCAUAAUUUCUUGUUUUUCUCUCAUUACUAUGCGUAGCUAAAUUUAACUUUAAGGCGAACAAUAUAACUGAUUUGGGAACCUUUAUUUUUUUUAUUUGAGAUUCUUAUUCUUUUAUAUUUUAUGCGUG
Molecule: long non-coding RNA, 3635 nt
Filed under: Olea europaea subsp. europaea
Lineage: Eukaryota; Viridiplantae; Streptophyta; Magnoliopsida; Lamiales; Oleaceae
Source: RNAcentral